RNAcentral lists this small RNA (46 nucleotides) under Candidatus Electrothrix marina. RNAcentral describes it as "Acido-Lenti-1 RNA". It matches the Rfam family "Acido-Lenti-1 RNA". Lineage: Bacteria; Pseudomonadati; Thermodesulfobacteriota; Desulfobulbia; Desulfobulbales; Desulfobulbaceae. The record is from Rfam by way of RNAcentral.
CCCACCGUUAAAACGGUGGGCUAUUUUCGAUUGCCCCUCCGGGGCG